UACGGGGGGGGCAAGCGUUGUUCGGAAUUACUGGGCGUAAAGGGCUCGUAGGUUGCCAACUAAGUCAGACGUGAAAUCCCUCGGCUUAACCGGGGAACUGCGUCUGAUACUGGAUGGCUUGAGUUCGGGAGAGGGAUGCGGAAUUCCAGGUGUAGCGGUGAAAUGCGUAGAUAUCUGGAGGAACACCGGUGGCGAAGGCGGGUCUCUGGGCCGAUACUGACGCUGAGGAGCGAAAGCGUGGGGAGCGAACAGG
Molecule: ribosomal RNA, 253 nt
Filed under: uncultured bacterium
Lineage: Bacteria
Description: partial 16S ribosomal RNA
Rfam family: Bacterial small subunit ribosomal RNA
Source: RNAcentral